This 492-nucleotide ribosomal RNA is filed under the name uncultured bacterium. RNAcentral's name for it is "partial 16S ribosomal RNA". It matches the Rfam family "Bacterial small subunit ribosomal RNA", at positions 29 to 507 of the family's 1533-position model. The record is from RNAcentral.
AGUGAACGCUGGCGGUAGGCCUAACACAUGCAAGUCGAACGGCAGCACAGUAAGAGCUUGCUCUUACGGGUGGCGAGUGGCGGACGGGUGAGGAAUACAUCGGAAUCUACUUUUUCGUGGGGGAUAACGUAGGGAAACUUACGCUAAUACCGCAUACGACCUACGGGUGAAAGCAGGGGAUCUUCGGACCUUGCGCGAUUGAAUGAGCCGAUGUCGGAUUAGCUAGUUGGAGGGGUAAAGGCCCACCAAGGCGGCGAACCGUAGCUGGUCUGGGAGGAUGAUCAGCCACACUGGAACUGAGACACGGUCCAGGCUCCUACGGGAGGCAGCAGUGGGGAAUAUUGGACAAAGGGCGCAAGCCUGAUCCAGCCAUACCGCGUGGGUGAAGAAGGCCUUCGGGUUGUAAAGCCCUUUUGUGGGGAAAGAAAAGCAGCAGGUUAAUACCCCGCUGUUCUGACGGUACCCAAAGAAUAAGCACCGGCUAACUUCGUG